CUGCAGGGAGAGAGUCUGCAGCCUCUCUCUGGGGGAUGGAAGAAGAAGGAGGUGGUCCAGGGAGGCAGCAAGGUGUUUGAGGGAGUAGAACUUGGCUGGAACCCAGAGCAGAGGCAGGGCCUGGAUUCCCCACUGGACACAAGAAGGGUGGAGUGAAACCCCUGAGGGGUGGACUAGAGUGUGACCUUGCUGAAUGACCAAGUUGCAGGAAGAGAUACCACUGGAUUGACCCUCAGCAGGGGGUGCCAUAUGGGGAGAAAGCCCUUUCAUUGCAUCUGGCCACAAGAAGAUGCUCCUAUGGCAUUGCUGGAAAUCGUUGUCACUGGCAUGGGUGGGUACAAGUACAGCAGCUCUCAUAAGAAAGCAUGACUGGCCCCGAUUGGACUAGAUAUCAAUGUGCUUUGAGAUAAAAAGCGUGGGAAUUGGCCAAUCCUGCCCACGUAAGUGGGGCAACUAUUUUUCACACAUGGGGCAUACUCAGAAAAUCCAUUUAAGUGUUUCUAUUGACUUCAGUGGGCCCUAUUUAAGUGGAUCAGGGAGAGAGAGGUGAUUGAAACUCAUUGCCAGUGAUUGUAGGGAUUACCAGUGUGGACACCGCUUCUGUAAGACUUUGCCUGGAACUUUCACAGACUCCGGUUCCUGCACAUGAAACGAGAUGUAAAGAAGAAGUAAGGAAAGGAGGAGCCAGUGAAAAAAUAAUGGAGAGAGAAAGAGGAACGAGGACGAGAAUGCCCUUCAUGUGACCCAUGACUUCUUUUGGCAGCAGUACAUGGCUUUGAACUAUGGACCAAAGGAUGUCCUGCUUCCCCUCCUCUAGAGCCAGUCUAUUUAGAUCUGUUACACUAUUGAACAACCAUCUAUGUGGUAGAAUCACAGUGGCUU
Molecule: long non-coding RNA, 882 nt
Organism: Dermochelys coriacea (leatherback sea turtle)
Lineage: Eukaryota; Metazoa; Chordata; Testudines; Dermochelyidae
Exons: 3
Source: RefSeq, a predicted model, not a curated record